RNAcentral lists this long non-coding RNA (1502 nucleotides) under Sarcophilus harrisii (Tasmanian devil). RNAcentral's name for it is "lncRNA (ENSSHAG00000027516.1)". Lineage: Eukaryota; Metazoa; Chordata; Mammalia; Dasyuromorphia; Dasyuridae. The record is from RNAcentral.
CCAGAAAAGUGCCUUAUACCAAGUAAUUUUUUUUUGACAAAUCUUAGCUGAAUUGAAAAUAAAUAUUGUAUUUAAUUGAUUUGCUCUCCUUCCUCUUAGCUAGCGAGUGCUGUUAUUUAUGCUUGGGGAUGGAAAAAUCUAAAUGACAUUUAAAGUCCAGGCAAUCUGAUUGCAUGCCAAGAGUCUACACAUUCUCAUUACUAGUAGAGAAACAAGGUAGCACAGCUAACUCAGUGAAUUAACCUAUGGAACUGCACUUAAAUUUAUUGCAAAUAUGUGCACUGUAGGAAAAUUAAGUUAAAUGUUGGCAAAGUCUUGAGAAAUAGUUCUCCUGGAAAUGUGAAAUGUUAAACAAUAAUAUCACUGUUUAGCUGUUAAAGACUGUACAGAACUGGUUUGACUGUUUUUGCUGAAAUGAAUCUGUUUAUUCUAAUUAUUUUGAAUGAAGAGAAUUACAUGAAUGGACUUCUCACUUAGACCAAAACAGAUAAAUGAGCUGUGCACAAAAAGAACCAAUGAAAGAUGGAGAAAACAGUAAUAACAGCUCAUUUUUGCAUAGUACCCUGUUCUCACAAAGAGUGUCAUCAAGCAUGGACAAGUUAGGUGUAGAAUGGAAAGUGGAGGGUCUACAAAUUUGCAAAACAUCUACAGUAGUGACAAAUGCUUUACUAGUUUGGGAGAUCUAUAUUUAAAUCACAAGAAAGUUGUGCAAUGGAAACUUUUUGUCACAGCAGAGACAUUAUUCCUAUGAUUCUAAGUCCAAGUCCAGUGACUUUUUUCUUUCCUUUUUCCCUCUUUCCCUCUUUCCUUCCUUUUCCUUCUUUUGUUUUUCCUGUCCCUGCCCUCCAUCCUUUUCCCCCCUUCAUUCCUCCCUUUCUUUUUCUUCCUUCCUUCCUUCUUUUCUUCUUUCCUUCCUCUCUCUGCCUUCCCUUCCUCCUUCUUCUAAGUGGGAAGGAAAUGUUGAUUUUUUAAAAAGCACUCUCGUUUACCAAUAAUACUACUAUCCUCAAAAAAUCUUCCCUGUAUCAAAAAAAAAUGCAGUUAAGCAAAUUGACACAUUGACUUUCUUUGACAUUUUAUGCCUUAUUUCACAUCUUUAGUCUACCACCUCUCUACUGAGAGAAAGAUAUAUUCAAUCAUCAGUCAUCUGAAACCAAGACUGGUCAUUGCAUUGAUCUAAAUUUUGAUGCUUUUUAGUGCCCAAUGCCCCUGACUUUCUACAUUAGAAAGCAUCAGGUGACUGCUAGUAGACCAUUAAGUGCCAAUUUUUUCCCCCUCCAGUAGCAGGAUACUCUUUUUUGAGGCCAUCAGGACUAAGGAAUUUGUCCGGGGUCUAAGUGUCUGAAGCUGGAUUUGAACUUGGGUACUACUGAUUCUGUAAUGCUGGAGAAACUGAGCAAGAUUUGAGAACAAUUUAAUAAUUUAUUUAAAAGGGAGAGAUUUACUGGGACCAAAUGGAUCCAUGGUUUGGUACCAGGGCUGAAUGAGACUAUCAUCUCAAA